Molecule: ribosomal RNA, 490 nt
Filed under: uncultured bacterium
Lineage: Bacteria
Description: partial 16S ribosomal RNA
Rfam family: Bacterial small subunit ribosomal RNA
Source: RNAcentral
AUUGAACGCUGGCGGCAUGCUUUACACAUGCAAGUCGGACGGCAGCACAGAGAAGCUUGCUUCUUGGGUGGCGAGUGGCGAACGGGUGAGUAACAUAUCGGAACGUACCGAGCAGUGGGGGAUAACUAAUCGAAAGAUUAGCUAAUACCGCAUAUCUUCUGAGGAAGAAAGCAGGGGACCAUUUGGCCUUGCGCUGUUUGAGCGGCCGAUAUCUGAUUAGCUAGUUGGUGGGGUAAAGGCCUACCAAGGCGACGAUCAGUAGCGGGUCUGAGAGGAUGAUCCGCCACACUGGGACUGAGACACGGCCCAGACUCCUACGGGAGGCAGCAGUGGGGAAUUUUGGACAAUGGGCGCAAGCCUGAUCCAGCCAUGCCGCGUGUCUGAAGAAGGCCUUCGGGUUGUAAAGGACUUUUGUCAGGGAAGAAAGGGGCGGGGUUAAUACCCCUGUCUGAUGACGGUACCUGAAGAAUAAGCACCGGCUAACUACGUG